RNAcentral lists this unclassified non-coding RNA (233 nucleotides) under Hevea brasiliensis (rubber tree). The record is from RNAcentral. Lineage: Eukaryota; Viridiplantae; Streptophyta; Magnoliopsida; Malpighiales; Euphorbiaceae.
AUCUUAUUUCUAUUAGCAAAAUUUACAAAAACAUGAAAUGCAUUGUAACCUUCUUUAAUGAUUCUGUUCUUGUGUAGGAUCAGAGCAUGGGACAGGUGAGUCAUAGGGAUUGUACCUACUCUUUAUCCCAACACUCGAUGUUGUUUCUUCUAAAUUGCUCCAUAGUCAAUUGGGUUAUCCAAGUCUCUUGAAAUUGUCAAAGAUGGUCCCAAGUUUAUCUAGUUUAUCUUCGU